RNAcentral lists this ribosomal RNA (559 nucleotides) under Striatibotrys eucylindrosporus. RNAcentral's name for it is "eukaryotic LSU rRNA". It matches the Rfam family "Eukaryotic large subunit ribosomal RNA", at positions 38 to 610 of the family's 3401-position model. The record is from RNAcentral. Lineage: Eukaryota; Fungi; Ascomycota; Sordariomycetes; Hypocreales; Stachybotryaceae.
GCAUAUCAAUAAGCGGAGGAAAAGAAACCAACAGGGAUUGCCUCAGUAACGGCGAGUGAAGCGGCAACAGCUCAAAUUUGAAAUCUGGCCCCAGGCCCGAGUUGUAAUUUGCAGAGGAUGCUUUUGGCGCGGUGCCUUCCGAGUUCCCUGGAACGGGACGCCAUAGAGGGUGAGAGCCCCGUCUGGUUGGACACCAAGCCUUUGUAAAGCUCCUUCGACGAGUCGAGUAGUUUGGGAAUGCUGCUCUAAAUGGGAGGUACAUGUCUUCUAAAGCUAAAUACCGGCCAGAGACCGAUAGCGCACAAGUAGAGUGAUCGAAAGAUGAAAAGCACUUUGGAAAGAGAGUUAAACAGCACGUGAAAUUGUUAAAAGGGAAGCGUUUAUGACCAGACGUGGGCCGGUUAAUCAUCCAGCGUUCUCGCUGGUGCACUUUGCCGGUCCAGGCCAGCAUCAGUUCGUUGCGGGGGAUAAAGGCUUUGGGAAUGUAGCUCCUCGGAGUGUUAUAGCCCUCUGCGUAAUACCCUGCGGCGGACUGAGGUUCGCGCUCGCAAGGAGCGGC